GACGAACGCUGGCGGCGUGCUUAACACAUGCAAGUCGAACGGAAAGGCCCUGCUUUUGUGGGGUGCUCGAGUGGCGAACGGGUGAGUAACACGUGAGUAACCUGCCCUUGACUUUGGGAUAACUUCAGGAAACUGGGGCUAAUACCGGAUAGGAGCUCCUGCUGCAUGGUGGGGGUUGGAAAGAUUCGGCGGUUGGGGAUGGACUCGCGGCUUAUCAGCUUGUUGGUGGGGUAGUGGCUUACGAAGGCUUUGACGGGUAGCCCGCCUGAGAGGGUGACCGGCCACAUUGGGACUGAGAGACGGCCCAGACGGCUACGGGAGGCAGCAGUGGGGAAUAUUGCACAAUGGGCGGAAGCGUGAUGCAGCAACGCCGCGUGCGGGAUGACGUCCUUCGGGUUGUAAACCGCUUUCGCCUGUGACGAAGCGUGAGUGACGGUAAUGGGUAAAGAAGCACCGGCUAACUACGUG
Molecule: ribosomal RNA, 468 nt
Filed under: uncultured bacterium
Lineage: Bacteria
Description: partial 16S ribosomal RNA
Rfam family: Bacterial small subunit ribosomal RNA
Source: RNAcentral